Molecule: long non-coding RNA, 1941 nt
Organism: Trifolium pratense (red clover)
Lineage: Eukaryota; Viridiplantae; Streptophyta; Magnoliopsida; Fabales; Fabaceae
Exons: 5
Source: RefSeq, a predicted model, not a curated record
AUAAAAUGAUUUCCUUCUUUUCUGUUUUCAAUAUCUCUCAACUUCAAUACUAUAUUAUAUGCACUUUUACAUUAUAGAACCUGAAAUUCUUUGUUAAUGAUAACUUUGAUUAAAUUUUCCGAGACACUCUUGUAAGUUUAAUAUUCUAGUACCUUCAUGAUGGGUCUUUCUAUUAUCGCCACAAUGUCUAAAUUCAAACUUACUUUAUUCACAUGCUUAGCAGAUGAAAGUUACUCCCCUUUCUUAAAAUUCAAACUAGUUGUUCGUGAAUACUGUCUGUCAUUUGAAGUUGAGAGGAAGCUAAAAACUUUGUAUGAUAAACCACAGUGGAAUUUUUCGGUUUGCAGUGGUUCUACUGUAGUUCUUUGUAUGAUAUACAUUUAUUUGUUGGUAGAAUAAUUCAUGGUAUCUUUAUCAAGAACAUGCAUCUAUUUGUACAAAGCUGUAUCAUAUGAUUAUAAAGGCUAACAAAGAUGUUGAAUUCCUUGGUUUCAGAUCAAUACAACUUACAAUAGCAUCUAUUUGAAUCACUGUAGAAACGCUUGAAAUUCGUCGUUUCACUUGUUUCUUUUUUUCCUAAGCUUGUUUGUGUUUGUUGCUUUCUCAGAUGGCUGCUAGGUUCCAUUUUCUGUCCGCCGUCGUUCCCGGAAGGACUUCUCUGAUGGUGCUUGUUGAUGCUAAGGAGCCUCAUUGUUCAUUGAACUGAAAUAUAAAGAACAAGCUUUUGAUGAAAAGAUUGAGAAAAUUUUCAAUUUGGCUGAGAAGUGGAUUUUCAGGUGGAUUCAGAAUCCAUUUCUGUUGGUAAGGCUGCUGUUGGAAACUUAUUGGGUGGCAUCCGCUACUUCUAUGGCCAAUCAAAAAUUGCUUUGUCAAGAACCCUUAAUGAAUUUGGCCUGAAUCACCAAGCUUUAGAGACACUGACAUGCCACCAGUAGAAGUGCCCUCAAACUGUUUUUGUGAGGAUUAUGUACUUCCACACAUUCCUAUUGUUUGUAAAAUAAUUACAAAGGGAAGUUCAAUAGCUUGUAAUCAAAGGAGUACCACUUCAAUUUUUUUGAAUGCAUCUUAUUUGUUCCUAUAGAAUUCUAGGAUAAAUUCGCCACCUUCCUAUAGGACCAAUGCACAAAAACUAUUGCGAUGGUUGUUGUGUAUAAUAACUCAUGGAACUAGAAAUGUUUUAUUCAUUUGUUUGGUUUUAGGAUCACAUUAUAUCUUAUGUAGUAGGACUAAGAUAUUUUGUCUACCCUCAAAUGGUCAAAAUAUAUUCAUCACUAUUUAUCAUUGAGUUAUUCAUCACUUUAAACGAAUAGCACAAUUCAUCACUAUAUAGCAUUUCAUUGUCAAUAUUAUCAGUUUGCUUACUUAAACUUAUGUCGUGUGAGACUUGAAAAUCAACUUCCUUCUGUUUGGUCAGGAUAUAUGCCAUUGUUUAUUCACGAACAAUGUUGUCCAGCAGGUUUUGGGUUUCUGGUUAAUGUUCCUGCGCCGUGUUUUUUUGCUCACGGGCGAUAGCAGCAGCAGUGAGUAAAUUUUAACUGCAGUUUUGAUACCAAUAGAGAAGUUAAAAGAGGUGAAUGAAAGCAUUGUUAAAAGAGGUGAAUGAAAGCAUGAAUGUGAACAAGUUAGAACAGAAGUCUAUAGAAGUAGUGACUAAGGAUGACUCCGAAUUUUGGUUCAUGGGAUUUUCAAGGUUUGAGAAAGCUAUUAGGAAUCUCAAUUUAGCCAUUUCCAUGGCUAAUAAAUCCUAAAAGGGAAAAUUGAACACCAGUGUUAAGUCUCCAUUUUGUAGAUUUUUUUGCAAGCUAAGAUUAUAGGUGAAGUUUUGUAAGGUGAAUACUGAAUAGGAUGUUAAGCAAUCUUAGUCUUUUAACUUAAUGGUUGUUGCAUAUACUUUGUCCAUUAUUUUUGUUUGAUUAAAAACCGAUAACUAUGGUUGUUGCA